AACGAACGCUGGCGGCAUGCCUAACACAUGCAAGUCGAACGAGACCUUCGGGUCUAGUGGCGCACGGGUGCGUAACGCGUGGGAACCUGCCCUUAGGCUCGGAAUAACUCCCCGAAAGGGGUGCUAACACCGGAUAAUGUCCUCGGACCAAAGAUUUAUCGCCUUUGGAUGGGCCCGCGUUGGAUUAGCUAGUUGGUAGGGUAAAAGCCUACCAAGGCGACGAUCCAUAGCUGGUCUGAGAGGAUGAUCAGCCACACUGGGACUGGGACACGGCCCAGACUCCUACAGGAGGCAGCAGUGGGGAAUAUUGGACAAUGGGCGAAAGCCUGAUCCAGCAAUGCCGCGUGAGUGAUGAAGGCCUUAGGGUUGUAAAGCUCUUUUACCCGGGAUGAUAAUGACAGUACCGGGAGAAUAAGCUCCGGCUAACUCCGUG
This 433-nucleotide ribosomal RNA is filed under the name uncultured bacterium. RNAcentral describes it as "partial 16S ribosomal RNA". It matches the Rfam family "Bacterial small subunit ribosomal RNA", at positions 29 to 507 of the family's 1533-position model. The record is from RNAcentral.